RNAcentral lists this ribosomal RNA (714 nucleotides) under uncultured bacterium. Its description in RNAcentral is "bacterial SSU rRNA". It matches the Rfam family "Bacterial small subunit ribosomal RNA", at positions 111 to 823 of the family's 1533-position model. The record is from RNAcentral.
UAACACGUAUCCAACCUGCCGUCUACUCUUGGACAGCCUUCUGAAAGGAAGAUUAAUACAAGAUGGCAUCAUGAGUUCACAUGUUCACAUGAUUAAAGGUAUUCCGGUAGACGAUGGGGAUGCGUUCCAUUAGAUAGUAGGCGGGGUAACGGCCCACCUAGUCUUCGAUGGAUAGGGGUUCUGAGAGGAAGGUCCCCCACAUUGGAACUGAGACACGGUCCAAACUCCUACGGGAGGCAGCAGUGAGGAAUAUUGGUCAAUGGGCGAGAGCCUGAACCAGCCAAGUAGCGUGAAGGAUGACUGCCCUAUGGGUUGUAAACUUCUUUUAUAAAGGAAUAAAGUCGGGUAUGCAUACCCGUUUGCAUGUACUUUAUGAAUAAGGAUCGGCUAACUCCGUGCCAGCAGCCGCGGUAAUACGGAGGAUCCGAGCGUUAUCCGGAUUUAUUGGGUUUAAAGGGAGCGUAGAUGGAUGUUUAAGUCAGUUGUGAAAGUUUGCGGCUCAACCGUAAAAUUGCAGUUGAUACUGGAUAUCUUGAGUGCAGUUGAGGCAGGCGGAAUUCGUGGUGUAGCGGUGAAAUGCUUAGAUAUCACGAAGAACUCCGAUUGCGAAGGCAGCCUGCUAAGCUGCAACUGACAUUGAGGCUCGAAAGUGUGGGUAUCAAACAGGAUUAGAUACCCUGGUAGUCCACACGGUAAACGAUGAAUACUCGCUGU